This 168-nucleotide unclassified non-coding RNA is filed under the name uncultured fungus. Its description in RNAcentral is "sequence contains ITS1, 5.8S rRNA gene". Lineage: Eukaryota; Fungi. The record is from RNAcentral.
AAGAGGUUUGAAUCAGUAAUGAUUCAUCUUCCCAUCCUGUGAUUAAACCACAUCUUUGUUUCUUGGUUGGCACUGAGAUUGAUUUAUCGACUCAGGUAAGACCGAUCAAUAUCCAAAAAAUUCUUUAUAAUUAUGAAUGUCUAAACCUUUUAUUUUUUAAAUAAAACA